Molecule: unclassified non-coding RNA, 2357 nt
Filed under: Centruroides sculpturatus (bark scorpion)
Lineage: Eukaryota; Metazoa; Arthropoda; Arachnida; Scorpiones; Buthidae
Description: serine/threonine-protein phosphatase 6 regulatory ankyrin repeat subunit B-like, transcript variant X4
Source: RNAcentral
GAAAAGGAAGAGAAAAUGCUUUUGUGUAGGCGUCAUUCGAAGCUUAUUAAUCAAUUUAAUCAUAAAUAUGAUCGGUAUUAUAACAACGUUAUAAAUUCAGAUUCUUAUAACGAUUAUUUUUUAAUAGAUAGAGUAAAUAAUUGUAAAGAUGUUUAUGAAAUACUUUAUACGGUGCACGCGAUUGUUUCUCGUUACCAUGUCAACGCACGCGAUUUAUAUCGAUUCGUUGAUUACUAUGGAAACGUAUCAUGCAACACGUCGAUUCUAUCAGCUCUUCAGAAUAUAUUUUACCGUAGAUGAAAUCAUGACAGGUUUGAAGAUUCAUGAAUAAGGAUGUCUUCGUUCUGUGCUAUAUAGGUCAACGCUGGAAUGUGUAUUGCCCACCGUUCCCGAAUGACUAGUCCAACAACCUUGGCAUCUACUGCCUUCACAUCUAAUCUUCCUCCAGUACGGUCAGUACGUCAAAUGCCACUUCCAUUAAUGGCAUCAGUAAGUGAUGAUCCAAUUUCUCUUUGGCUUAAAUUGGGUGCCUUAGAAAAAUUAGAACAAGUUGUUCUUGAUGGAUAUGGUGAUCAAUUAUAUGGAAAAACAUCCAGAAUACCUCAAGUUAAUAAAUUUUUAAGACAGAUACCGGUGUUUCAGAACAAAAUUGAUGAAAUUCAUCGAGCAGUUUCACAAGGAAAAUUAAGAGAAAUUCAACAUCUUAUUGAUAGAAAAAAACUGGCUUUCUGUCGUGAUCAAAUGGGUGCUAGUCCUCUACAUAAAGCUGUGUUAUUUAAGCAGAAAGAAAUAAUGACAUAUCUGAUAACUCAUUAUGGAAGCAUUAUUCAUACUCGUGAUCACCAAGGAAGAACUCCUCUUCAUUAUGCUGCAGUUCUUCAAGAUAAUGGAGAAAUAUUCAAUAUGUUAUUGGAAGCAGGAGCUGAUAUUAGGGCAACAGAUAUGUAUGGACGUCGCCCAGAGCAUUAUAUGCAAUCUCAGGAAGGUUUUACUUUACAAGAUCUUAAAGCAAGUUCAACUGCAGCAAUUAAAAGAAAACAAAAACAUACGUUGCCAAAACAUCAUCAUAAGAAACAUACAUCAAAAAAUAAAUCACAUAUUCAAGAAAUUAUAGAUGAAGGUAAUUUAGAAAAAUUAGAAGAAUUGGUAUUACAAGGGAAAGGAGAUAAAUUAUUUGGUGAGACUUCUGCUAAUAAAUUAGUUCAAGAUUUCCUUGACAAAGUUCCUUCAUAUAUGGAAAGAAUACAAUCUAUACAUAAAGCUGUUGUAAGAGGUAAUUUAAGAGAUGUUAAAUCUCUUUUAGAUCGGAAAAAUUUAGCUAUAACAAGGGACCCAACAGGAGCUACACCAUUGCAUAAAGCUAUAAUAUAUGGUCAUCAUGAAAUUGCCAAAUAUAUUGCUCAAAACUUUCCAUCAUCAAGAGAUGCAGUAGAUGGAGAUGGACGUACUGCUUUACAUUAUGCUGCUGUAUUGAAGGAUAAUAAUGAAAUGUACAACAUGUUAACAGCAAUUGGAGCGAGAAGUAGCAUUCUUGAUUCAAAAGGAAAAACUCCUGAAUACUAUCUUCAGCAUCCUGAACAAAUAAACAUGGAUUAUGUUUUAAAGAAUAAUCAAAGAGCUAAUGCUACAUAUAUUGCAAAUACUGCAAGUCGUCUUAAAUUAAAAGUCCCUUCCUCUCAACUGAAUAAACCUUCAGACAAUUCAAAAAGUACAGAAGAAAAAGGAGAUUAUUUUGAUGUUGACUUAGACGACCAGGUUAAUGCAGGUAAUCAUUUUGAAAGCAAUCUUCCACUGUAUAAAAGAGGCAUUGUUCUCAGAAAUAAACCUGUAAAUCCACCAAAACCUAAACGUAUAGAAGUUACAUCAGCAAAUAUUCAUAAAUGGAUAUCAUCUGAAGAUAUACAAAAGCUUGAAGAUGCUGUAUUAGAAGGCUAUGGUGAUAAAAUUGCUAAACAAACGGCUGAAAAUGAAGAAAUCCAAAAUUUUAUAAAUACUAAUGUUCCUAAGUUAUUAGAAAAAAUUGAAGCAAUUCACUCAGCAGUUUCAAAUGACGAUUUAUCGGGCCUCCAAGAUUAUUUAGAUAAGGAUGAUUUUGCAUUAGCAAAAGAUCAUUUAGGAAGGAAGAACACCUCUUCAUUAUGCUGCUUCUGUUGCUCAGAAAGAUAAAAUGAGAAGUUAUAGGUUAUUACUUCAGGCUGGAGGAGAUCCAAAAAUUAGAGAUAAUCAAGGACGUACACCAGAAUAUUAUCGAACUCAUCAUGUUGCUAUUCCUAGUAAAGCUGAAAUAAAAUCAAGAACUAAACAAAGUAGAAGAACAACAUCAGAACCUCCUGCUGCCUCACGUAAUAAAUUAGGAG